CCUACGGGAGGCAGCAGUGGGGAAUAUUGCACAAUGGGGGGAACCCUGAUGCAGCAACGCCGCGUGGGUGAAGAAGUACUCCGGUAUGUAAAGCCCUGUCAGCAGGGAAGAAAAUGACGGUACCUGACCAAGAAGCCCCGGCUAACUACGUGCCAGCAGCCGCGGUAAUACGUAGGGGGCAAGCGUUAUCCGGAUUUACUGGGUGUAAAGGGAGCGUAGACGGCAAGGCAAGUCUGGAGUGAAAGCCCGGGGCCCAACCACGGGACUGCUUUGGAAACUGUGUUGCUGGAGUGCAGGAGGGGUAAGCGGAAUUCCUAGUGUAGCGGUGAAAUGCGUAGAUAUUAGGAGGAACACCGGUGGCGAAGGCGGCUUACUGGACUGUAACUGACGUUGAGGCUCGAAGGCGUGGGGAGCAAACAGGAUUAGAUACCCUAGUAGUC
RNAcentral lists this ribosomal RNA (440 nucleotides) under uncultured bacterium. RNAcentral's name for it is "partial 16S ribosomal RNA". It matches the Rfam family "Bacterial small subunit ribosomal RNA", at positions 338 to 795 of the family's 1533-position model. The record is from RNAcentral.